CACGUAGGGCGCAAGCGUUGUCCGGAAUUAUUGGGCGUAAAGAGCUCGUAGGCGGUCUGUUGCGUCCGCUGUGAAAACUCGGGGCUUAACCCCGAGCCUGCAGUGGAUACGGGCAGACUAGAGGUAGGUAGGGGAGAAUGGAAUUCCCGGUGUAGCGGUGAAAUGCGCAGAUAUCAGGAGGAACACCGGUGGCGAAGGCGGGUCUCUGGGAAACAACUGACGCUGAGGAACGAAAGCGUGGGUAGCAAACAGG
Molecule: ribosomal RNA, 253 nt
Filed under: uncultured bacterium
Lineage: Bacteria
Description: partial 16S ribosomal RNA
Rfam family: Bacterial small subunit ribosomal RNA
Source: RNAcentral